RNAcentral lists this ribosomal RNA (467 nucleotides) under uncultured bacterium. Its description in RNAcentral is "partial 16S ribosomal RNA". It matches the Rfam family "Bacterial small subunit ribosomal RNA", at positions 28 to 506 of the family's 1533-position model. The record is from RNAcentral.
GAUGAACGCUGGCGGCGUGCUUAACACAUGCAAGUCGAACGGAAAGGCCCAAGCUUGCUUGGGUACUCGAGUGGCGAACGGGUGAGUAACACGUGGGUGAUCUGCCCUGCACUUCGGGAUAAGCCUGGGAAACUGGGUCUAAUACCGGAUAGGACGAUGGUUUGGAUUCCAUUGUGGAAAGUUUUUUCGGUGUUGGAUGAGCUCGCGGCCUAUCAGCUUGUUGGUGGGGUACUGGCCUACCAAGGCGUCGACGGGUAGCCGGCCUGAGAGGGUGUACGGCCACAUUGGGACUGAGAUACGGCCCAGACUCCUACGGGAGGCAGCAGUGGGGAAUAUUGCACAAUGGGCGCAAGCCUGAUGCAGCGACGCCGCGUGGGGGAUGACGGCCUUCGGGUUGUAAACUCCUUUCGCUAGGGACGAAGCGUUUUUGUGACGGUACCUGGAGAAGAAGCACCGGCUAACUACGU